UAGGGAAUCUUCCGCAAUGGACGAAAGUCUGACGGAGCAACGCCGCGUGAGUGAUGAAGGUUUUCGGAUCGUAAAGCUCUGUUGUUAGGGAAGAACAAGUGCCGUUCAAAUAGGGCGGCACCUUGACGGUACCUAACCAGAAAGCCACGGCUAACUACGUGCCAGCAGCCGCGGUAAUACGUAGGUGGCAAGCGUUGUCCGGAAUUAUUGGGCGUAAAGGGCUCGCAGGCGGUUUCUUAAGUCUGAUGUGAAAGCCCCCGGCUCAACCGGGGAGGGUCAUUGGAAACUGGGGAACUUGAGUGCAGAAGAGGAGAGUGGAAUUCCACGUGUAGCGGUGAAAUGUGUAGAGAUGUGGAGGAACACCAGUGGCGAAGGCGACUCUCUGGUCUGUAACUGACGCUGAGGAGCGAAAGCGUGGGGAGCGAACA
RNAcentral lists this ribosomal RNA (428 nucleotides) under uncultured bacterium. RNAcentral describes it as "partial 16S ribosomal RNA". It matches the Rfam family "Bacterial small subunit ribosomal RNA", at positions 355 to 774 of the family's 1533-position model. The record is from RNAcentral.